GGUUAUGUAGUUUAAUUUGGUUAAAAUACUUCCACGUAAAAGGAUAUUGGGAGAUGAUGUGAGUUCAAGUCUCAUCGUAGCCGCCA
RNAcentral lists this transfer RNA (86 nucleotides) under Escherichia phage REP10. RNAcentral's name for it is "tRNA-Thr". It matches the Rfam family "tRNA". From Rfam's summary of the family: Transfer RNA (tRNA) molecules are approximately 80 nucleotides in length. Their secondary structure includes four short double-helical elements and three loops (D, anti-codon, and T loops). Further hydrogen bonds mediate the characteristic L-shaped molecular structure. tRNAs have two regions of fundamental functional importance: the anti-codon, which is responsible for specific mRNA codon recognition, and the 3' end, to which the tRNAs corresponding amino acid is attached (by aminoacyl-tRNA synthetases). tRNAs cope with the degeneracy of the genetic code in two manners: having more than one tRNA (with a specific anti-codon) for a particular amino acid; and 'wobble' base-pairing, i.e. permitting non-standard base-pairing at the 3rd anti-codon position. The record is from RNAcentral. Lineage: Duplodnaviria; Heunggongvirae; Uroviricota; Caudoviricetes; Andersonviridae. RNAcentral also lists the same sequence under 4 other names.